CGCACUCUCACAUCUCGUAUGUUAAUUCAACACUCACUGAAGUCCCAUACUCACUGUCUGAUUCUAGUGCUCUUUGCUCAUGUGGUGGUCUUCCAUUCUCUAUUUCUCUAGUUUAUUAGAGUUUCUGGUAUAAUUGAAAUCUCGGUAUCCUUCAUUUUAGGAUUGAGGGCUUCGACAUCGUUGAAGAUUUCGGGUGGUUUUUAAGGUCUUUAGCCGUGGCUCUCUCACCUUUGAUAAGGUGUUUUUAGGUGUUUGGUCCAGCUUAUCAACAGAACGAUAUGUAUGAUCUAGCUGUCGUUCCCAUUGUAAAUGAGGUAUUAGAAGGAUUCAAUCAAUGUAGGCCUUGCUCAGCGAAUUCCAGUGAUAACGUGCCAGAAAAAUUGAUGGAAAGAAGGUUAUUGCCUUGGAUAUGGGUCUCCUUGUAGCUCGUAUAAAGAAUCGUGGAGACUUCGAAGAACAAUUAAAGAAGUUAAUGGAAGUGAAGGUGACGAGAUUAACACGUCUAUAGAUUAAGUACAUACAUUAUUGGAGCUAGUGCUGCUGAGGUGCCAUUGAUGCAGUAAACAUUUUGAAACCAGCUUUUGGAAGAGGUGAACUGCAGGAUUCCCAAGUUGGACUUACAAUCACGACACGAAUCUCACUUUUUGCAUGCAUUAGCAUCUCCCCGGAAAUCAUCUGAAAAGCCUAUGGCUGCGUAUGCAUAACUGGAAGUAUUUUAUCUUGUUACUACACCGGUCAUCUUCUCAGCAUCCCUGAGGUAUUUUGCAGCCUGAUUCUUACAAGUUAGUUUAUUUACUUUGAGGGCCCUAGUCCCAAGAAAGGUAAUGAGUUCCUUCAUAUGGAAUAUUCGUAUGUGCUUUGUUUUAAGUGGCAAGCUUUUCAAUUAGGUGUAUUGACGUAUUAGGAAAAAUGCAUAGCAGCAGCUUUAAAAUUGUUUUCCAAUUUCAACUUAAUCUUCUGAAAAUGAAUGAUGGUGCAGUGUAUCGGUGCUAUAAACUAAAUCAAAACAGAAAACAUAUUCGGAGGACCCCUCUUUAAAAGGAUAAAAAUAUCGUAAGCUCCUCUAUAAAUGAGGCUUUAUAAUGCCCCUAGUUCAUUCCAUUUCUGCAGAUUAGAGCGUACCUAGAGCACAGAUGUUAUAAAGAUUUGUGGAUUGAGCACUUCAGUUCAGCAAAACUCGUGUUCAUCAUUUAUAGAAAUUGCUUUCGUCAUGCAAGGAUCAUAUCUAAGUUUACUGAAUCCUAUAACUUGGUGUCUAGCAUUUAUUUGAAUCAAUUUGGCAACUGGUGCAUCUUCUAGUUUCCUCGGUUAAGCAAAAAUUGAAACUCUUUUGUAUGUGACUGUUAUGAAAUUCUUUAUCCAGCAGUUUAUUUUUUAUUA
Papaver somniferum (opium poppy) is the source of this 1380-nucleotide long non-coding RNA. RefSeq lists it as uncharacterized. The record is from RefSeq and is a predicted model, not a curated record. The transcript is spliced from 5 exons. Lineage: Eukaryota; Viridiplantae; Streptophyta; Magnoliopsida; Ranunculales; Papaveraceae.